AUGCCGACCUUUGUACUGGUGAAGGGCGGGCAGGAGGUGAGUCGCGUGGUCGGGGCUAAGAAGGAUGAGCUUGACAGGAAGAUCAAGACGUUCAUCUCAUCGUCCUGA
Molecule: ribosomal RNA, 108 nt
Filed under: Triticum aestivum (bread wheat)
Lineage: Eukaryota; Viridiplantae; Streptophyta; Magnoliopsida; Poales; Poaceae
Description: partial small subunit ribosomal RNA
Source: RNAcentral